GUGGAGUCCAAAAUGAAUCUGACUUUUAAUCCUCAUUUAUCUGACUUUGAACGAGAACUGAAAGAAUCUGCAACUCUGCCGUACACCUUCAGUGACAGCAAGAAGUCAUCACUCCUACGUGCCUCAACUGCCACUGCAAAAAUAUUUUAUGAUCCCGACCCAGCUGAUGAUUUUGAUGAUGAGGAUCCAGAUGAGGACCUUGAUGUGUGAUUAAAUGCAUUAAAUUCAGAAACUGUUUGAGUAUGUCACCUCCCUCUGAUUCUCUACAAAGUUAUUUUGUCCACAAACAUUCUUCAUCUGAUCAGCUCAGUCGAUGAGUCACAUAGGAAUCCUAAAAAAUAGCAGGAUUAUCAAUGCAUCUCUCACUUGGUAUAGGUUAUCUUAGCGCUGGUGAUUUCACUGUUUUUUAUAUUGCACUUCUAAAAGUAUUUAAUUGCUGUGUCCAUGAAUAAAUGAUUUGUCUAUACCACU
Bombina bombina (fire-bellied toad) is the source of this 471-nucleotide long non-coding RNA. RefSeq lists it as uncharacterized. The transcript has 2 exons. NCBI's taxonomy places the organism in Eukaryota, Metazoa, Chordata, Amphibia, Anura, Bombinatoridae. The record is from RefSeq and is a predicted model, not a curated record.